Otolemur garnettii (small-eared galago) is the source of this 104-nucleotide small nuclear RNA. The record is from Ensembl. Lineage: Eukaryota; Metazoa; Chordata; Mammalia; Primates; Galagidae.
GUGCUCGCUUCAGCGGCACAUAUACUAAAAUUGGAAAGAUACAGAGAUUAGCAUGGCCCCUGCGCAAGGAUGACACGCAAAUUCAUUUAGCGUUCCAUAUUUUU